GAUGAACGCUGACAGAAUGCUUAACACAUGCAAGUCAACUGUGGCGGACGGGUGAGUAACGCGUAAAGAACUUGCCUCACAGCUAGGGCCAACAUUUGGAAACGAAUGCUAAUACCUGAUACUGUGAGAGAGCUUUGCGUCCCAUUAGCUAGUUGGAGAGGUAACGGCUCACCAAGGCGAUGAUGGGUAGCCGGACUGAGAGGGUGAUCGGCCACAAGGGGACUGAGACACGGCCCUUACGCCUACGGGAGGCAGGAGUUGGGAAGAUUGGAAAAUGGACCAAAGUCGGAUCAAGCAAUUCUGUGUGAACGAUGAAGUUUUCGGAAUGUAAAGUGCUUUCAGUUGGGAAGCGGUAACAACAGAAGAAGUGACGGCUAAAUACGUGCCAGCCGCCGCGGUAAGUC
Molecule: ribosomal RNA, 404 nt
Filed under: uncultured bacterium
Lineage: Bacteria
Description: partial 16S ribosomal RNA
Rfam family: Bacterial small subunit ribosomal RNA
Source: RNAcentral